RNAcentral lists this ribosomal RNA (484 nucleotides) under uncultured bacterium. RNAcentral's name for it is "partial 16S ribosomal RNA". It matches the Rfam family "Bacterial small subunit ribosomal RNA", at positions 30 to 507 of the family's 1533-position model. The record is from RNAcentral.
AUUGAACGCUGGCGGCAGGCCUAACACAUGCAAGUCGAGCGGAUGAAGGGAGCUUGCUCCUGGAUUCAGCGGCGGACGGGUGAGUAAUGCCUAGGAAUCUGCCUGGUAGUGGGGGAUAACGUCCGGAAACGGGCGCUAAUACCGCAUACGUCCUGAGGGAGAAAGUGGGGGAUCUUCGGACCUCACGCUAUCAGAUGAGCCUAGGUCGGAUUAGCUAGUUGGUGGGGUAAAGGCCUACCAAGGCGACGAUCCGUACCUGGUCUGAGAGGAUGAUCAGUCACACUGGAACUGAGACACGGUCCAGACUCCUACGGGAGGCAGCAGUAGGGAAUAUUGGACAAUGGGCGAAAGCCUGAUCCAGCCAUGCCGCGUGUGUGAAGAAGGUCUUCGGAUUGUAAAGCACUUUUAGUUGGGAGGAAGAGCAGUAAGUUAAUACCUUGCUGUUUUGACGUUACCAACAGAAUAAGCACCGGCUAACUUCGUG